Magnolia sinica is the source of this 719-nucleotide long non-coding RNA. RefSeq lists it as uncharacterized. The record is from RefSeq and is a predicted model, not a curated record. NCBI's taxonomy places the organism in Eukaryota, Viridiplantae, Streptophyta, Magnoliopsida, Magnoliales, Magnoliaceae. The transcript has 3 exons.
UGUCGUGGGCAUAAUAUCAUUGAGGUGUAUUCAAUUCAGCAAUCAACAAAGUAGUUGCCUUGUGUAGUUAGGUUCAAGUUGUCUGGAAAAUCGAACAAUAUGGUGUUACAGCUACCAACUUAGUUUUAACUGUGACGCAAAUGUUGAGGAAGCAUGGGGUUGUUGGCAAGUUUGUUGAGUUUUAUGGUGGGGGCAUGGGUGAAUUAUCAUUAGCUGAUAGGGCUACUAUUGCUAAUAUGUCUCCUGAAUAUGGAGCAACCAUGGGUUUCUUUCCCGUAGAUCAUGCCACUCUAUAAUAUCUCAAGCUAACAGGACGAAGUGACAAAACUGUUAAGUAUUGUACGUGUGAAUGUUUUGAUUGGGGAAUGGGCGGAUUAGAAAUUUGGUUGAUGAGGAAACCACCCUCUUAUGUACCAGGUGGCAAUGAUAGAAGCCUAUCUGAUAGCAAACAACAUGUUCGUUGACUACAACGAGCCUAAAAAAGAGAGUAUAUUCAUCUUAUCUAGAGCUGGAUCUUGCAGAUGUUGAACCCUGCAUCUCAGGUCUAAAGCGGUAUGUUCGUGUUAGUCUAAUCUAUGUGUUAUAUUCACUCGGUUGUUGAAUCAUUAUAUUCAAGUUGGAGUUAUUGCAGGAAAGGUAUUUUAUUUGGGUCAGUAGGCUUUUAGAUUGAGCUUCUCUUGUUUUUGGUAUGACUUCGUAAUAUGGCUUUAAAGUUGCUA